This 467-nucleotide ribosomal RNA is filed under the name uncultured bacterium. Its description in RNAcentral is "partial 16S ribosomal RNA". It matches the Rfam family "Bacterial small subunit ribosomal RNA", at positions 28 to 506 of the family's 1533-position model. The record is from RNAcentral.
GACGAACGCUGGCGGCGUGCUUAACACAUGCAAGUCGAACGGAAAGGCCCUGCUUUUGUGGGGUGCUCGAGUGGCGAACGGGUGAGUAACACGUGAGUAACCUGCCCUUUACUUUGGGAUAACUUCAGGAAACUGGGGCUAAUACCGGAUAGGAGCUCCUGCUGCAUGGUGGGGGUUGGAAAGUUUCGGCGGUUGGGGAUGGACUCGCGGAUUAUCAGGUUGUUGGUGGGGUAGUGGCUUACCAAGGCUUUGACGGGUAGCCGGGCUGAGUGGGUGACCGGCCACAUUGGUACGGAACGACGGCCAAGACUACUGCGGGCGGCAGGAGGGGGGAAUGUUGCACAAGGGGCAGAAGGCUGAUGCAGCGCCGCCGCGUGCGGGAUGGCGGCCUUCGGGUUGUAAACCGCUUUAGCCUGUGAAGCAGCGUGGGUGACGGUAAUGGGUAAAGAGGCACGGCCUAACUAGGU